AUCUGGUAAUGGUACUUGUGUCUGCAAGCCAACGAUUAAGAUAGCCACGUUCGGUCCAUCACAGUUAAUGAACACUGACUGUAGUCAUAUUUAUCCGCUCUAGGAACAGAGGAGGAGAAGAAACGAAAGGAAGAAGAGGAGGAAAAAGAACGGAAACAGAAGAACGCGGCCAAAUAUCAUUAUCAGAUAGAUUCAGUUUCUGAAAAUGACGAAGAGGUGAACGGUGUUGACAAAGCAUUGAUGAGUCUUAACUCCUAUUACCUGGUUGCUACACGGCGUCUCUGUGACGUCAUCCCCAUGAUCAUACAGCUGCACGUGUUCCGGGAACAGGUGAAAGAAAUGUAGACCCUGCUCAUGGACAUUGCUUCGGAUGAAAGAACCAUGGAUCAUAUCCAGGAAGAUACAGAUAUGGCUUAUAUGAGGAUUGAGUGCAAGUCUCGUCACGAGAGACUGCUUCUAGCGGAAGAAGAGCUGGACAAAAUCUAGCGUUUAUCAAUGUCAGUCCUGGCACUUUCAUUGUUUCUGUCAUAUUUAUAUUUGUCUUUGUAAUUUCUUUAAUUCAAAAACAUGCUUUGAUACAGUCGCAAUCGUACAAAAUAGUACAAUGCACUUUAUUCAAACAACAAUGACAGGAAACGACAUCUUGGUUUUUCAUUGGACAAUUGAAAAAUGUUCUGGUCAACAUAUUGCACACAGAUUCCAGUUGGGAUAUUUAUUGCUUUUCACGCUAAGGGAUAUACUAAUUAUGUGUUUGUUUAUGUGUUCGUUUAAAAACGUUUCUUUAUUGGAUUAUGAAUUCCUAAAUAUCAGGGAUGUAGCUACCGAAAGCGGUGCCUGAGAAUCACACAAACGCAAAAAGCUCUCAUAUUAUUUUCCUGA
RNAcentral lists this unclassified non-coding RNA (879 nucleotides) under Haliotis rubra (blacklip abalone). RNAcentral describes it as "interferon-induced GTP-binding protein Mx2-like, transcript variant X2". The record is from RNAcentral. Lineage: Eukaryota; Metazoa; Mollusca; Gastropoda; Lepetellida; Haliotidae.